This 796-nucleotide ribosomal RNA is filed under the name Lactobacillus sp. BS-05. Its description in RNAcentral is "bacterial SSU rRNA". It matches the Rfam family "Bacterial small subunit ribosomal RNA", at positions 13 to 777 of the family's 1533-position model. Lineage: Bacteria; Bacillati; Bacillota; Bacilli; Lactobacillales; Lactobacillaceae. The record is from RNAcentral.
UUGAUCCCGGGGUCAGGACGAACGCUGGCGGCGUGCCUAAUACAUGCAAGUCGAACGAAACUUUCUUACACCGAAUGCUUGCAUUCACCGUAAGAAGUUGAGUGGCGGACGGGUGAGUAACACGUGGGUAACCUGCCUAAAAGAAGGGGAUAACACUUGGAAACAGGUGCUAAUACCGUAUAUCUCUAAGGAUCGCAUGAUCCUUAGAUGAAAGAUGGUUCUGCUAUCGCUUUUAGAUGGACCCGCGGCGUAUUAACUAGUUGGUGGGGUAACGGCCUACCAAGGUGAUGAUACGUAGCCGAACUGAGAGGUUGAUCGGCCACAUUGGGACUGAGACACGGCCCAAACUCCUACGGGAGGCAGCAGUAGGGAAUCUUCCACAAUGGACGCAAGUCUGAUGGAGCAACGCCGCGUGAGUGAAGAAGGUCUUCGGAUCGUAAAACUCUGUUGUUAGAGAAGAACACGAGUGAGAGUAACUGUUCAUUCGAUGACGGUAUCUAACCAGCAAGUCACGGCUAACUACGUGCCAGCAGCCGCGGUAAUACGUAGGUGGCAAGCGUUGUCCGGAUUUAUUGGGCGUAAAGGGAACGCAGGCGGUCUUUUAAGUCUGAUGUGAAAGCCUUCGGCUUAACCGGAGUAGUGCAUUGGAAACUGGAAGACUUGAGUGCAGAAGAGGAGAGUGGAACUCCAUGUGUAGCGGUGAAAUGCGUAGAUAUAUGGAAGAACACCAGUGGCGAAAGCGGCUCUCUGGUCUGUAACUGACGCUGAGGUUCGAAAGCGUGGGUAGCAAACAGGA